GAUUUUCUAUUCCAGAGUUUGUCCGAAAUCUUCUUGACUAUAACGGCCUCUGUCCUGCUUAGUUAGCUCCGAAUUCUAUCCGUCGAUCAUCAACUUUGCACUAUUAUGUCAGCUUAUACCAACCGUUCCUCAUCUUUUCUUUUUUCGAUCUUUCUUUAUCCUUCGUCCUCAUCCAAAGGCCAAAAGUUGGUAGUUCUUCAAUCCGAGGAAAGGCCUUUCUUUCAUUACCGAUCUUCUAUUGUCCAUUCAUAGAUAGAAGAACUAAUUUUUCUUUAUUUCUUCUUCAUC
This 288-nucleotide long non-coding RNA is filed under the name Elaeis guineensis (African oil palm). RNAcentral's name for it is "long non-coding RNA (EGUI_LNC030949)". The record is from RNAcentral. Lineage: Eukaryota; Viridiplantae; Streptophyta; Magnoliopsida; Arecales; Arecaceae.